Molecule: small nuclear RNA, 191 nt
Filed under: Echeneis naucrates (live sharksucker)
Lineage: Eukaryota; Metazoa; Chordata; Actinopteri; Carangiformes; Echeneidae
Description: U2 spliceosomal RNA (ENSENLG00000000381.1)
Rfam family: U2 spliceosomal RNA
About the family: U2 is a small nuclear RNA (snRNA) component of the spliceosome (involved in pre-mRNA splicing). Complementary binding between U2 snRNA (in an area lying towards the 5' end but 3' to hairpin I) and the branchpoint sequence (BPS) of the intron results the bulging out of an unpaired adenosine, on the BPS, which initiates a nucleophilic attack at the intronic 5' splice site, thus starting the first of two transesterification reactions that mediate splicing.
Source: Rfam by way of RNAcentral
AUCGCUUCUCGGCCUUUUGGCUAAGAUCAAGUGUAGUAUCUGUUCUUAUCAGUUUAAUAUCUGAUACGUCCCCUACCCGGGGACCAUAUAUUAAAUAGAUUUUUGGAACAGGGACAUGGAGUAGGGGCUUGCUCCGUCCACUCCACGCAUCGACCUGGUAUUGCAGUAUCUCCAGGAACGGUGCACUCCCU